This 280-nucleotide long non-coding RNA is filed under the name Phasianus colchicus (ring-necked pheasant). Its description in RNAcentral is "lncRNA (ENSPCLG00000011913.1)". The record is from RNAcentral. Lineage: Eukaryota; Metazoa; Chordata; Aves; Galliformes; Phasianidae.
GCCCAGGUAUGGAUUUUGGAGUUUCUAGACAAUUUGUGGAAAAAAAAAGAGGAAGGAGAAGAUGGUAGUGGAAAAGGAUGGAAAGCUAGAAGACCAUUUAUGGCAACUUUAUUGGGUUUUCUUCAGGGAAGACACAGAAGAGAACAUGUUUUGUAGACGUUUUUUACAUUUUGUGGGAGAGGAAAAUAUAUCCCAAAUUGUAACAGAAGGUUGAAAUGUGAACAUUGUAGCUAGUAUUAGAUUUCUGUUCUUGCAGCACAGUAAUCUAUACCUUCAUCAA